This 292-nucleotide ribosomal RNA is filed under the name uncultured bacterium. Its description in RNAcentral is "partial 16S ribosomal RNA". It matches the Rfam family "Bacterial small subunit ribosomal RNA", at positions 505 to 796 of the family's 1533-position model. The record is from RNAcentral.
GUGUCAGCAGCCGCGGUAAUACGAAGGGGGCUAGCGUUGUUCGGAAUUACUGGGCGUAAAGCGCACGUAGGCGGGUCUGUAAGUAGGGGGUGAAAUCCCCGGGCUCAACCCGGGAACUGCCUUCUAGACUGCAGAUCUUGAGAUCAGGAGAGGCGAGCGGAAUUCCGAGUGUAGAGGUGAAAUUCGUAGAUAUUCGGAGGAACACCAGUGGCGAAGGCGGCUCGCUGGACUGAUACUGACGCUGAGGUGCGAAAGCGUGGGGAGCAAACAGGAUUAGAAACCCUCGUAGUCC